This 292-nucleotide long non-coding RNA is filed under the name Bos taurus (domestic cattle). RNAcentral describes it as "long non-coding RNA NONBTAT016194". Lineage: Eukaryota; Metazoa; Chordata; Mammalia; Artiodactyla; Bovidae. The record is from RNAcentral.
GCCUCACGCAGUGCCACAUUAUCCAGGAAGGGCUGCUGGCUGUCUGGCACCUUUUUCCUGAAAGGCAGCCUUUGCAACUAUUUUCCAGAACCCAGGGCCUUCUCGCAAUCAUCUUAGUUCAUUCUAAGGUCAUUUGCUCUUUGCAUCUAACUAAAUGGCACACUGGAAGACAGAAAAAAAAUAAGGGAUUUUUAUACAGCAGAUGAAAAGGAAAAAAGAAAACUUGAUGGAAAGUGUGAGCCUCCAUGCUGACUAACUCCCUUGGGGCUCAUCGACUUGUUAAUGAAGGACC